Brassica oleracea var. oleracea is the source of this 296-nucleotide long non-coding RNA. RefSeq lists it as uncharacterized. Lineage: Eukaryota; Viridiplantae; Streptophyta; Magnoliopsida; Brassicales; Brassicaceae. The transcript has 3 exons. The record is from RefSeq and is a predicted model, not a curated record.
UUUGUUCCAGAGACCAGUUUCUGAAGAGAAAACUAACAAAGGAAUGGAAUUGAUCGAAUGAUGCACACAAGCAGCUUGGGAGAAGGAAGCAUGUUGAACUUCAAAUUUUCUGAUGGAGUUCAGAGUUCUUUAAAAAAGGAUCGCAGUAACUUAAUUCCUCUCUGAGAGCAAAGAGCAUUAGAGUUAGCAGACUCUGAGGAUCUACGAACUUCUGUGUACAGUAAGAUCAUAUUUCAAACAAAUCUAUGAUUGGAGUUUGUCGUCAGAGCUACCGAGUUUCUAAUCUUCCUGGUAUU